UCCUCUGCAUCUCAGGUUCCCCAGAUUUCAAAUGAGGUGACUGAAUAUGACGGUCUCCAAGUGCCUUCUUGGUGCCAGUCCCUAGCUGCCCAGCAUGGAUCAUCUGGGGAAGCUGUGUGGGAAAGUGUUGCUAGGGAUUGCAAACAGAAGUCUGUAAAUUGCACUCCCAUCCAUAAAAGGGUUCUCAUAUAUCAGAGUGCUGGGAGACAGAUGCAAAGGCUGGGGCAAGACUGCUGUGGAGCACUGGGUGCACCUAAGAGGGAAGAAGGAGCUGGAUUUGGCACUGAGCACCAGAGCAUAGUGAGGUGGUCAUGGGAGCAGCCGAGUUGGUUCAAAACUGCACCUUGCCUGACUUUUUUCCCCUGAUUCUGGCCUAAGUACUGCUCUACAGCCAUGUGACCUGGGUCACAUGGAAUGAUGGUGAUCGAUAUAGACGUGAUCUCAGAGUUCACUCCCUCAUCAUACAGUGGAGGAAACGAGGCCCAGGGAGGGGCGGAACAUUUUUCCAAGUCAUACAGCAAGAACUCAGAGGCCUCUUGGUUCCUGCUCUUGCCUUGAGGUGGUUCUGCGGGGCGCUCCAGAGCCCCCAAGAAAUUCUUCUGAAAUUCAGUUCUCCACAGGACACCUGGGCUCCUCCUCUGUCCUCCCAGCCCCUCACAGAGGAGUAGUUUCCCUUCUGGCCUGCCUAAGUCUGUCUUGUCUUCUGGACUUCAGUGGCCACCAUGGACCUCCCAAGCUUUCUCUUGGGCUCUUCCAGUGCCGACCUCAGCUUGGCUGCCUCACACUCUGUCUGGUGGGCACUUACAGGAGCCAUGUCCACAGACCACCUCGCCUGGGCUGUGGAGGCCCCGUUCUGAGACCACGUGCAGUCCAAAAAAGGAAGCUAAAAGGGGUCAGAGGAAAACAUCCCCGUGUAGGGUGAGGGUGAAUCUCAGUCUCCCUGUCAACUCUCUUUAUCCUGACAUCCAGAAUUCCAGACCUUUGUGGGCACUGAUCCCUGAGACUGGGCUCUUUAAGCUCUUUCACUGAUCCCUGGGGUCCGAAACUUUCAGCUUGCACUUUGGUUUGGUAAACCACUGACUGUCCUACCAAACGCCCCCGCACCCCACAAACUCAACCUGUGCUCUUCAUGUGCUAUCUCCUGUUCGAUCCCCACACUGACCUUCUGGGUUAGGGACUUGCAUGUCCCCAUUUUAUAGAUGAGGAGCCUGAGGCCCAGAGAGGUAAGUCACCUGCCCAGUAUCACACAGCCUGAGAUUGGCAGAGCCAGAUCUCAUGGAAUGAGAGCCCUGUCUCACCUCCCUAGAGACAGAGCUUAAUUGAUAACUUUGAGUUGAUACUGAAAGGUCACAGGAAUUGCAGCAGAUAAGGUGUUCUGAGGAACUGGCUCUCUAGCACCUGUGGUAAUUAAUUCAGUAUCCCUUUUUGUGUCCCAGAGAAGCACAGUGGCUAAAGCGCACAGCACAAGCUUGGAGAUCAGAUGGACAUGGCUUCAAAUCUCGUCUCUGCUGUUUACAAAAAGUAUGACCCCAGGAGAGGGAUUUAUACCCUCUGAGCUGUAGUUUCCUCAUCCACAAUGUGGGAGCAGGAUUUUAGAGGAUACCGAGAGAUUAAAUGAGAUCUUUCUUAUAGAGUCCUUAGCAAGGGGCUUGGCACCAUGGAUGGUAAUAUCAUCAUGAUGAUGCCAGGUAUUUUCAUUGCUAUUCCUUAUUAUUCAUCAGUAUUUUUAUUCAUUGCUAUUGCUGGUUGUAUUCAUCAUUAAUAAAUAAUAGCAUUGUUUAUUAA
This 1785-nucleotide long non-coding RNA is filed under the name Homo sapiens (human). RNAcentral describes it as "HSALNT0389392". The record is from RNAcentral. Lineage: Eukaryota; Metazoa; Chordata; Mammalia; Primates; Hominidae.